Molecule: ribosomal RNA, 460 nt
Filed under: uncultured bacterium
Lineage: Bacteria
Description: partial 16S ribosomal RNA
Rfam family: Bacterial small subunit ribosomal RNA
Source: RNAcentral
CCUACGGGAGGCAGCAGUGAGGAAUAUUGGUCAAUGGCCGCAAGGCUGAACCAGCCAAGCCGCGUGAAGGAUGAAUGUGCCACGCAUUGUAAACUUCUUUUGUCAAGGGAUAAAAUCAGGCUCGUGAGCCUUACCGAGGGUACUUGAAGAAAAAGCAUCGGCUAACUCCGUGCCAGCAGCCGCGGUAAUACGGAGGAGGCAAGCGUUAUCCGGAUUUACUGGGUGUAAAGGGAGCGCAGACGGGGAGGUAAGCCAGUAGUGAAAGCCUGCGGCUCAACCGUGGGACUGCAAUUGAUACUGGCUGCCUUGAGUGCAGGAGGGGUAGGCGGAAUUCGUGGUGUAGCGGUGAAAUGCGUAGAUAUCAGGAAGAACUCCGAUGGCGAAGGCAGCCUACUAAACUGCCACUGACGUUGAGGCCCGAAAGUGUGGGGAGCAAACAGGAUUAGAUACCCCAGUAGUC